CGUAGGCGGCUCUGUUUGUCGCGUGUGAAAGCCCCGGGCUCAACCUGGGAGGUGCGCGCGAGACGGCGGGCUGGAGUUCGGGAGAGGAGCGUGGAAUUCCCAGUGUAGAGGUGAAAUUCGUAGAUAUUGGGAAGAACACCGGUGGCGAAGGCGGCGCUCUGGACCGAGACUGACGCUGAGGCGCGAAAGCGUGGGGAGCAAACAGGAUUAGAUACCCUGGUAGUCCACGCCGUAAACGAUGUGUGCUAGACGUUGGGAGGCCUAGCCUCUCGGUGUCGCAGCCAACGCGGUAAGCACACCGCCUGGGGAGUACGGCCGCAAAGGUUAAA
This 329-nucleotide ribosomal RNA is filed under the name uncultured bacterium. RNAcentral's name for it is "bacterial SSU rRNA". It matches the Rfam family "Bacterial small subunit ribosomal RNA", at positions 570 to 898 of the family's 1533-position model. The record is from RNAcentral.